Non-coding RNA from Ferrithrix thermotolerans DSM 19514, 3004 nucleotides. Lineage: Bacteria; Bacillati; Actinomycetota; Acidimicrobiia; Acidimicrobiales; Acidimicrobiaceae. The record is from Rfam.
CUCCAAGUUAUUAAGAGCCAACGGUGGAUGCCUUGGCGCCUAAAGCCGAAGAAGGACGUGGACGACUGCGAUAAGCUCUGGGUAACUGUCUAACAAGUUUAGAUCCAGAGAUCUCCGAAUUGGGAAACCAGGCAUCUUACAAGAUGUCAUCUAUGCCUGAACACAUAGGGCAUAAGAAGGGAACCAGGGGAAUUGAAACAUCUCAGUACCCUGAGGAAAGGAAAGCAAAAUGCGACUCCCCAAGUAGCGGCGAGCGAAAAGGGAAUAGCCCAAACCAAUGCGGUGUAAUAGUCUGGCGACGUUGCCGUAUUGGGGUAGUGGGAGUUAGUAAAGUGUACGCCAGUUGCACUAUAGGAGUUACAAAUCAGAUAGCUAGCAGAAGUGUCCUGGAAAGACACGCCACAGUGGGUAACAGCCCCGUAUGCGAAAGCCAUCUGACUCCUAACUAACCACCCAAGUAGCGCGGGAUCUGGGAAAGCCGGCGUGAAUCUGCGAGGACCACCUCGUAAGGCUAAGUACUAAUAGGCGACCGAUAGUGAACUAGUACCGUGAGGGAAAGGUGAAAAGAACCCCGGGAGGGGAGUGAAAUAGUACCUGAAACCGUUGGUUUACAAGCAGUCAAAGCGUAGUCAACUCUGUUGGCCGCAAUGGCGUGCCUUUUGAAGAAUGAGCCAGCGAGUUACCGUGUGUGGCGAGGUUAACCCAUGAAGGGGUAGCCGAAGCGAAAGCGAGUCUGAAUAGGGCGUCUAGUCGCAUGCGGUAGACCCGAAGCCGAGUGAUCUAUCCAUGGGCAGGCUGAAGCGGGGGUAAGACCCCGUGAAGGGCCGAACCCACUCUGGUUGAAAACAGGGGGGAUGACCUGUGGAUAGGGGUGAAAGGCCAAGCAAACUCGGUGAUAGCUGGUUCUCCCCGAAAUGUAUUUAGGUACAGCGUCAGAUGUUCAGCAUCGGAGGUAGAGCACUGAAUGGGUUAUGGGGCGUACAUGCUUACUGAUCCCAAUCAAACUCCGAAUGCCGAUGCUCCAGAGUCUGGCAGUGAGACCACGGGGGAUGAGCUUCGUUGGUCGAGAGGGAAACAGCCCAGACCGCCAGCUAAGGCCCCAAAUUCCUGACUAAGUGGUAAACGAUGUGAAACUGCAUAGACAGCCAAGAGGUUGGCUUAGAAGCAGCCACCCUUUAAAGAGUGCGUAAUAGCUCACUGGUCGAGUGGUUUUGCGCGGACAAUGUAACGGGGCUCAAGUCAGGAGCCGAAGCUGCGGACUUCCUAAUUUACUUAGGGAGUGGUAGGGGAGCGUCGAGCUUGCAGUGAAGCAGGUGCGUGAGCCUCUGUGGAGCGAGCUCGAGUGAGAAUGCUGGCAUGAGUAGCGAAAGAGGGGUGAGAAACCUCUCCGCCGAAUGUCCAAGGGUUCCUGGGCAAGGCUAAUCCGCCCAGGGUGAGUCGGGAGCUAAGGCGAGGCCGAAAGGCGUAGUCGAUGCACAACAGGUUUAUAUUCCUGUACCGCCUAAGAGACGUUAUCAGCAAUGGAGGGACGCAGGAAGGUAGGUGAUCCCAGGCGUUGGUUGUCCUGGGGAAAACGUGUAGGGCGAGGGCCAGGCAAAUCCGGACCUCAUAUAGCCUGAGACGUGAUUCCGAGUCGCUUUAGACGAAGUCACUGAUCCUAUGCUGCCGAGAAAAUCUUCUAGCGAGUGUCUUGGGCGCCCGUACCCCAAACCGACACAGGUGGACAAGUAGAGAAUACUAAGGCGAUCGGGAGAACUGUGGUUAAGGAACUCGGCAAAUUACCUCCGUAACUUCGGGAGAAGGAGGGCCUCAUUAGGGUGAUUGAUCUUGCAUCUUUGAGCUCGAAGAGGUCGCAGAGACCAGGGGGUAGCGACUGUUUACUAAAAACACAGGAGCGUGCUAAGUCGCAAGACGACGUAUACGCUCUGACGCCUGCCCGGUGCCGGAAGGUUACGAGGAGAGGUUAGCCCGCAAGGGCGAAGCUUUGAAUCUAAGCCCCGGUAAACGGCCGCCGUAACUAUAACGGUGCUAAGGUAGCGAAAUUCCUUGUCGGGUAAGUUCCGACCUGCACGAAUGGCGUAACGACUUCCCCACUGUCUCAACCACAGACCCGGCGAAAUUGAAGUACGAGUAAAGAUGCUCGUUAGCUGCAUCAGGACGGAAAGACCCCGUGGACCUUUACUGUAGCUUGAUGUUGGGCUUUGGUACAGAUUGUGUAGGAUAGGUGGGAGACUGUGAAGCUGGAGCGCUAGCUCUGGUGGAGUCGUCCUUGAAAUACCACCCUGUCUGUGCCGGGGCUCUAACCUUGACCCGUUAUCCGGGUUAGGAACAGCGUCAGGUGGGCAGUUUGACUGGGGCGGUCGCCUCCUAAAGUGUAACGGAGGCGCCCAAAGGUUCCCUCAGACUGGUUGGCAAUCAGUCGUCGAGUGCAAUGGCAUAAGGGAGCUUGACUGCGAGACCUACAAGUCAAGCAGGUGCGAAAGCAGGGCAUAGUGAUCCGGCGGUAGCGUGUGGAAGCGCCGUCGCUCAACGGAUAAAAGGUACCCCGGGGAUAACAGGCUCAUCUUCCCCAAGAGUCCAUAUCGACGGGAAGGUUUGGCACCUCGAUGUCGGCUCGUCGCAUCCUGGGGCUGAAGCCGGUCCCAAGGGUUGGGCUGUUCGCCCAUUAAAGCGGUACGCGAGCUGGGUUUAGAACGUCGUGAGACAGUUCGGUCCCUAUCCGAUGCAGCCGUAGGAAACUUGAGAAAGGCUGUCCCUAGUACGAGAGGACCGGGACGGACGCAGCUCUCGUGUGCCAGUUGUCCUGCCAAGGGCACGGCUGGUUAGCGACCUGCGGAAGGGAUAAGCGCUGAAAGCAUAUAAGCGCGAAGCUCUUUUCAAGAUGAGGUUUCCCACAGGGUUAACCUGGUAAGGCCCGUGAGAGACGAUCACGUUGAUAGGCCGGAUGUGUAAGUACAGUAAUGUAUUCAGCUGACCGGUACUAAUAGGCCGAGGACUUGGAGUC